This 107-nucleotide small RNA is filed under the name Marmota monax (woodchuck). The record is from RNAcentral. Lineage: Eukaryota; Metazoa; Chordata; Mammalia; Rodentia; Sciuridae.
ACUGGGCAUGGUGGCACAUGCCUGUAAUCCCAGUAGCUUGGGAGGCUGAGGCAGGAGGAUCACAAGUUUAAGGCCAGUCUCAGCAACUUAGUGAGACCCUGUCUCAA